Molecule: ribosomal RNA, 477 nt
Filed under: uncultured bacterium
Lineage: Bacteria
Also listed under: 1 other name
Description: bacterial SSU rRNA
Rfam family: Bacterial small subunit ribosomal RNA
Source: RNAcentral
UUCGCAAUGCCCGAAAGGGUGACGAAGCGACGCCGCGUGCGGGAAGAAGGCCUUCGGGUUGUAAGCCGCUGUCGGGAGUUAAGAAAUGUAAGGAUGUUAAUAGCAUCUUUGCUUGACUAAGGCUCCGGAGGAAGCCACGGCUAACUCUGUGCCAGCAGCCGCGGUAAUACAGAGGCGGCAAGCGUUGUUCGGAAUUAUUGGGCGUAAAGAGCACGUAGGCGGCUAUGUAAGUCGGUUGUGAAAGCCUUCCGCUCAACGGGAGAACAGCAUCCGAUACUGCAUGGCUUGAGUGCGGGAGGGGAGAGUGGAACUUCUGGUGGAGCGGUGAAAUGCGUAGAUAUCAGAAGGAACGCCGGCGGCGAAAGCGGCUCUCUGGCCCAUAACUGACGCUGAGUGUGCGAAAGCUAGGGGAGCAAACGGGAUUAGAUACCCCGGUAGUCCUAGCCGUAAACGAUGGGCACUAAGUAGAGGGGUUUU